This 180-nucleotide ribosomal RNA is filed under the name Emiliania huxleyi. RNAcentral's name for it is "partial Bacterial large subunit ribosomal RNA". It matches the Rfam family "Bacterial large subunit ribosomal RNA", at positions 1578 to 1757 of the family's 2925-position model. The record is from RNAcentral. Lineage: Eukaryota; Haptophyta; Isochrysidales; Noelaerhabdaceae.
UAAGGUGGUGAAGUUGUUGAUGCCCUGCUUCCAGGAAAAGCUUCUAAACUUAUGAUUAUAUGAACCGUACCCCAAACCGACACAGGUGGUCAGGUAGAGAAUACUAAGGCGCUUGAGAGAACUCGGGAGAAGGAACUCGGCAAAUUGGUACCGUAACUUCGGGAUAAGGUACGCCCUGGU